UUCGGUGACUAUAGCAUCGGGGUUCCACCUCUUCCCAUUCCGAACAGAGAAGUUAAGCCCGAUCACGCCGAUGGUACUGCGUAACAGUGGGAGAGUAGGUAGUCGCCGUUU
This 111-nucleotide ribosomal RNA is filed under the name Bacteroides fragilis. The record is from RNAcentral. Lineage: Bacteria; Pseudomonadati; Bacteroidota; Bacteroidia; Bacteroidales; Bacteroidaceae.